CUGCUAAGACUGGAUAGGAGACAAGAAGGCAUCUUCUUGUUUUUAAAAGACCUAGCAAUAGGUAUGUUUAGGGAGGAGCUUGCGUCACAUUAGUUAGUUGGUGGGGUAAAGGCCUACCAAGACUAUGAUGUGUAGCUGGGCUGAGAGGUUGAACGGCCACAUUGGGACUGAGACAUGGCCCAAACUCCUACGGGAGGCAGCAGUAGGGAAUUUUCGGCAAUGGAGGAAACUCUGACCGAGCAACGCCGCGUGAACGAUGAAGUAUUUCGGUACGUAAAGUUCUUUUAUUAGGGAAGAAUAAAUGAUGGAAAAAUCAUUCUGACAGUACCUAAUGAAUAAGCCCCGGCUAACUAUGUGCCAGCAGCCGCGGUAAUACAUAGGGGGCAAGCGUUAUCCGGAAUUAUUGGGCGUAAAGGGUGCGUAGGCGGUUAAAUAAGUUUAUGGUCUAAGUGCAAUGCUCAACAUUGUGAUGCUAUAAAAACUGUUUAGCUAGAGUAAGAUAGAGGCAAGUGGAAUUUCGUGUGUAGUGGUAAAAUGCGUAAAUAUAUGGAGGAACACCAGUAGCGAAGGCGGCUUGCUGGGUCUUUACUGACGCUGAGGCACGAAAGCGUGGGGAGCAAACAGGAUUAGAUACCCUGGUAGUCCACGCCGUAAACGAUGAGUACUAAACGUGGGUAAAACCAGUGUUGAAGUUAACACAUUAAGUACUCCGCCUGAGUAGUACGUACGCAAGUAUGAAACUUAAAGGAAUUGACGGGACUCCGCACAAGCGGUGGAUCAUGUUGUUUAAUUCGAAGGUACCCGAAAAACCUCACCAGGUCUUGACAUGCUUCUGCAAAGCUGUAGAAACACAGUGGAGGUUAUCAGUUGCACAGGUGGUGCAUGGUUGUCGUCAGCUCGUGUCGUGAGAUGUUGGGUUAAGUCCCGCAACGAGCGCAACCCUUAUUGUUAGUUACCAGCACGUAAUGGUGGGGACUUUAGCAAGACUGCCAGUGAUAAAUUGGAGGAAGGUGGGGACGACGUCAAAUCAUCAUGCCCCUUAUGACCUGGGCUACAAACGUGAUACAAUGGCUGUUACAAAGGGUAGCUGAAGCGCAAGUUUUUGGCGAAUCUCAAAAAAACAGUCUCAGUUCGGAUUGAAGUCUGCAACUCGACUUCAUGAAGUUGGAAUCGCUAGUAAUCGCGAAUCAGCAUGUCGCGGUGAAUACGUUCUCGGGGUUUGUACACACCGCCCGUCAA
RNAcentral lists this ribosomal RNA (1239 nucleotides) under Iranian cherry phytoplasma PCh8. Its description in RNAcentral is "bacterial SSU rRNA". It matches the Rfam family "Bacterial small subunit ribosomal RNA", at positions 160 to 1400 of the family's 1533-position model. The record is from RNAcentral. Lineage: Bacteria; Bacillati; Mycoplasmatota; Mollicutes; Acholeplasmatales; Acholeplasmataceae.